AUGACUUGAUAACUUCGUUUCUGUCCAUGACCUCACCAAUCUGGAGAUAGCUGUUGACUGUGGAUUUAAUGAUUCUGACCAUGGUAAAGGAGGAAGUAAUUGAUUUGAAACCUUCAAUCCUGAAAUUAGAACAUGAACUUAUCCUGGAUGACCAUGAAGAGACAGGCAACGCUGGUGGCAGCAUGGGCUCAAAAAUUCUUAGGCCAACAAAGAAUCACUGUCGCAGACAAGAUUCAAAUAAAAGCACUAACCAAAAAAAAGCUCCACAAAAGAAGUUGGGUCUAUUCCCUAUCGUCAUUCUGGAAAGGCUCGAUCUUUCAUCGUUAAAGAGUCUUCAAUUAAAGAUCAAAACCUCUGCAUCUAGCGAUAAGAGUGGACCUGAGAAAAGCUUACGGAUAAAAGAAGAACCAGUGGAUGUUGAGGACCUUCACGCAGAUUUUGUGAUGAACUAUCGUCAAAAAUUUCAAUUGGAACCAGCUCCUACACCAUCUGCGAUGAUCAUUCAAAAUCUUCGCUCGAUGUUGUCGAGAAGAAAUUGAAGAAUUUGCUUACAAUGGAGAGUAGUGCCACCCAGCCAUUUGUAGAAGCCGAGGAUGAAGUGGACGUCUCCAUCAAUGAAAAUACUGAUUCUUUAUAUCAGAAUCAGUCUGGAUCAAAUGAUGCCCAGGCUUCGAAUACCUUGAAGCCUUCUCUGAAAGAAGAAAAACCAGUCAUCCACAAUUCGUUAGGGACCCUUACCAAAUCAGAGAUUCCUAUAGUUGAGAGAAGCAUCAGAAUACCCUCUGGAAGCAUUCUCAAAAACGGUUAUUAUCGUUGCAACUUGUGUGGGAGACACUUGAAAAACAUGGCAAAUCUAAAAGGUCAUUUUCGGAAUAUUCACUCUGAUGAGAGACCAUUUUCCUGUAAACUCUGUCCAAAGAGGUUCAAAGCAAAGAGUGCUCUCAAAAUCAUUUAUUUGUAACUCAUUCUGAUGUAAGGCCUUUUAAGUGUACAUUGUGUGAAGCUUCCUUUAAAACUAAAGGUAGUGUUGCUAUUCAUUUAUCAACUGGAAUUCACUCCGAUGAAAGACCCUACGCUUGUGAACUCUGCCCAUUGCGAUUCGCCCAAAGGAAUAACCUUUUGUCUCAUAUCAAAACGCACUCACUUGAAAGACCGUUCUCUUGUAAAGUGUGUGCAAGAGGGUUCAGAUUAGAAAAACUUCUGCAGUACCAUUUGAAGACUCAUUCUGAUGAGAGACCCUUUGCUUGUAGGAUUUGUUCUCUACGAUUUCGAUACAAACCAAGUCUUCAGAAUCAUUUUCAACGAUUUCAUGCUCAUCAAAUGACAGAUACUUCUAACGAGAGUUUUAACUCCUGUAAAAAAAGAGAUUCCAAAAAAAAAUUGAGUGGUCGUGGCUCAGGUAGGAAUCUCAUUCCUCUUACUUAUUCUUCUCAACAUAAAAACAAAAGACAAUUAAAAAGUUCGUUAAAAACUCAUUCCGUCAAUGAACUUUAUACUUGUGAAAUAUGUUCCGCAAAGCUUAAAGAUAAAAAAAUCUUCUAUUUCAUUUACAAAGUCACGCCAAUAAGAGAAGUUUUGAAUGUGCGCAUUGCAAUGCAAAAUUCAUUAGAAGAAGUGUCCUCAUAGCUCACUUGACAUCACAUUCUGAUGAAAGACCCUAUCCUUGCCAUAAGUGUAGUAAACGGUUCAAAGGUAAAGGACCCCUCUCCACUCAUCUUAAAACUCACUCGAACAAAAGGCUGGUUAAGUGUGAUAUCUGUGAUGCUCGUCUCAAAAGUAAUCAUUCUCUGAAGUAUCACCGAUUAACUCACUCUGAUGAGAAACCAUUCCCCUGCAAUCAAUGUUCUGCUCGUUUUAAAGUAGAAUCAGCUCUGAAAUCUCACGUUCAAAAUUAUCACACUGAUAGAGCUGUCAUGUCUUGUAAGUACUGUUCAAAAAAAUUCUCACAAAAAUUUUGUCUUCAUUCGCAUGUUCAAAAAAUGCAUAAAAAAGAAAGACCCUUCUCUUGUGGCGAAUGUAGUUUUCGAGCUGAAUCGGAACAUCAUCUCAAUUCUCACCUCCAAGUUCAUUCUGAUGAAAGACCCUUCGCUUGCAAACUUUGCUCCCAACAAUUCAAAAGGAGGUGGCUCCUCAAAAUGCAUUUACUUAAGAUUCACCACAAGAAAUCCCUUCCAUCCUGAAUUGUACCGGAUUCGAAACUGAUGACUGAACUAAUUUUAAGUGCAAAUGUGAACAAACCGUAAGCGCCAGGAUCUCUUUACUUCAGAGUUAUAGACGAGUUUAACUGUAGGAUUUUUUUUUUUUUCACUCAAAAUGUAAGCAAGAUUUCUUUUUUUUCUUUGAUAAAUUGAGAGUAAAUUGAUCCCUUGAGAUAGAAUUGAUUAAUUCUAGGCUUUACCCUAAAUGAU
This 2408-nucleotide long non-coding RNA is filed under the name Bemisia tabaci. Its description in RNAcentral is "lncRNA ENSSSA1NGG002832". Lineage: Eukaryota; Metazoa; Arthropoda; Insecta; Hemiptera; Aleyrodidae. The record is from RNAcentral.